GAGAGAUGGCCGAGUGGU
This 18-nucleotide non-coding RNA is filed under the name Arabidopsis thaliana (thale cress). Lineage: Eukaryota; Viridiplantae; Streptophyta; Magnoliopsida; Brassicales; Brassicaceae. The record is from RNAcentral.